RNAcentral lists this ribosomal RNA (292 nucleotides) under uncultured Desulfobulbus sp. RNAcentral describes it as "partial 16S ribosomal RNA". It matches the Rfam family "Bacterial small subunit ribosomal RNA", at positions 1090 to 1382 of the family's 1533-position model. The record is from RNAcentral. Lineage: Bacteria; Pseudomonadati; Thermodesulfobacteriota; Desulfobulbia; Desulfobulbales; Desulfobulbaceae.
CAACGAGCGCAACCCUUGCCUUUAGUUGCCAGCAGUUCGGCUGGGCACUCUAAAGGGACUGCCGGUGUUAAACCGGAGGAAGGUGGGGAUGACGUCAAGUCCUCAUGGCCUUUAUGACCAGGGCUACACACGUACUACAAUGGCCGAUACAAAGGGCAGCGACACUGCGAGGUGAAGCCAAUCCCGUAAAAUCGGUCUCAGUCCGGAUUGGAGUCUGCAACUCGACUCCAUGAAGUUGGAAUCGCUAGUAAUCGUGGAUCAGCAUGCCACGGUGAAUACGUUCCCGGGCCUU